Molecule: long non-coding RNA, 778 nt
Organism: Solanum pennellii
Lineage: Eukaryota; Viridiplantae; Streptophyta; Magnoliopsida; Solanales; Solanaceae
Exons: 2
Source: RefSeq, a predicted model, not a curated record
AUCUACAUGUCAAAUAAGAAAAAUUUCAUGUAACUAUAUUAUAUGAUUCAGUUAAUUUCUUUAAUGUUUUCUCUACUAUGAGUGGUUGAGUCGGGAUUUUAUACAAAAUAUGAAGAAGUAAACAUACGAAACAGUAGAUCUGGAAUUCAACAUCUACAUAAAAAAGAAUAUGCUGAAGAAUAUUUUACCUCUUUCUCCAACUCAUAGAAGCUAUUGAUUAGGACCCAAUCAACUUUGUCAAGAUUUGAGAAUUGAUUCACCAACAUUUCAAGUAUUCUUUCUCCUUCAGGAUUAAUAACAAAACUAGGCCAAGGAAGGAAUGGAUCAUAUACUAUGCAAUUUACAUGACAUCCACUUUUUGCCAAUUUUUCAAUAAGUUGAGACAGAGUAUCCGAACCAAUUUCUUUGAAUCGUGUAAUAUAGGCCACAAAAGAUCCUGCUUGAUCGCGACCACCAUCAUCAUAACCAUCAGAUAUGGCCUCAAUUGACAUAGAAGUUGGCAAUUCUUUCAUGUUUUUCAAAAAGGAUUUUGUGAGUGCUAUAGUGAUUUUAACGCGUUUGGAUUGUAAACGUUUGGAGAAUUGAAGCAUUGGGUUGAUAUGACCUUGGCCUGGAAAUGGCAAGAUCAAGCAAUGAGCUUUGUGAGUAGUCAUCUCUUGCAACUUCUCAAUUGAUGGCUGAAAUAAAAAAUCAACUUAGUGUUGUAUAUUCUUAUAGUUAGUUGAUUGAGAUGAAGUGUACAAUUUGGAUUAUUGUGUGUUGGCUUCUUCCUAUUCUA